Molecule: long non-coding RNA, 337 nt
Organism: Fukomys damarensis (Damara mole-rat)
Lineage: Eukaryota; Metazoa; Chordata; Mammalia; Rodentia; Bathyergidae
Exons: 3
Source: RefSeq, a predicted model, not a curated record
CUCAAAUUUGUGAUCUUCCUGAAUAGCUGAGAUCACAGGGCCAAGCCAACCAGACCACGACUGGGAUCCCAGCACCAGGCAGCAGGCUGAGGCCUGGGGAUCAUCCUGAGUUUCAAGCCAGCCUAGGCCACAUGAGAAGCUCCAGUCUUCACCUUCACCUUGGACAUCAUCUCCUGGCUUCCAGUGAGACUUCCAGCAUAGACUGACUCUUCAGCACCAACUCUUCAGCUGUCCAGCGCAGACCCUUCAGCCUUCCAUUGAAAACCCUUCGAUCUCCUGAUAUGGGCUGACAUGGGACACUACAAUUAGCUCCUGGCAUUUGACUGGAUCCUUUGAA